CCCUUAGAUGUUCUGGGCCGCACGCGCGCUACACUGACGGAGGCAGCGAGCAUGUCCUUCGCCGAGAGGUGUGGGGAAUCUUGUGAGUCUCCGUCGUGCUGGGGAUAGAUGGUUGCAAUUGUCGAUCUUGAACGAGGAAUUCCCAGUAAGCGCGAGUCAUCAGCUCGCGCUGAUUACGUCCCUGCCCUUUGUACACACCGCCCGUCGCUACUACCGAUUGGAUGGCUUAGCGAGAAUUUUGGAUCGGAGCCCGGGUGGUCGGCAACGGUCGCCCGGGAGAUCUGAGAAAUCAUUCCAGCUUGGUCAUCUAGAGGAAGUAAAAGUCGUAACA
RNAcentral lists this ribosomal RNA (331 nucleotides) under uncultured eukaryote. RNAcentral's name for it is "partial 18S ribosomal RNA". It matches the Rfam family "Eukaryotic small subunit ribosomal RNA", at positions 1470 to 1796 of the family's 1831-position model. The record is from RNAcentral.